Molecule: long non-coding RNA, 5861 nt
Filed under: Nicotiana tabacum (common tobacco)
Lineage: Eukaryota; Viridiplantae; Streptophyta; Magnoliopsida; Solanales; Solanaceae
Description: long non-coding RNA (NTAB_LNC000499)
Source: RNAcentral
UGCAGAAGUAAAAUAAUUUAAAAAUAGAAAUAAGGCAAUAACAGUGUUUAAAUGUGCCACUCGGCGUACACCAUAUAUAUAAAUCUAAAAACCAAUAUCCAAAUCCAAGACCCGGAAACCCACGAAUCACAAGCUAAGAAAAAGAAAUACUACAUAGCUCUAACUCCGAAAUUGUCUAAUAAGAAUAGAAAGUACAGAAUGGCUAAAUACUAGAAAGCAUGAACAGAAAGGGACUCCUUGGUCUGCAGACGUGGGAAAUGUACCUCGAAGUCUCUAAGUAGUCGUCUCCCUCAAGGAUAGUAGGCCUGAGUAGAAGUACCUGGAUCUGCACAUGAAAAAUAUGCACAAAAGAGGCAUGAGUACACCAUAGCGGUACUCAGUAAGUGUCAAGCCUAACCUCGGUUGGGUAGUGACGAGGAAGGUCAGGGCGCUACUGAGAUUAAAUACAAUAUAAGGGUUAACAGUGUGGAAUAAAACAAUAUAAAUAAGUGCAAUAGUAAGAAAUAGCAUAGAAUUGACAGAACAACAACAAUUGGAAUAAAGACAAAACAAGCCACGGAAAGAAAUACAGCUCAACACAGAGAUAACAAUCGGGGCACCUUCUAGGAUACCGUCCUGUAGUCCCAAUUACAACUGUCCAGUAGAUCUCCCGGGAUACCGUCCCGUAGUCCAUCAUAUAUAUGUCCGAAGGAUUUCUCGGGAUCUCGUCCCGUAGUCCAACUAUCAAUGCGCGAGGAUCUACCGGAAUCCCGAUUGGUAGUCCUAAAUGUAAUUACCCAGUACUGGGGGAAUCUACCGGGUGCAUUCCCAUAGUUCCAUAUAACUGUACAGGGCGAUCUAUCGGGAAUCUAACCUGCAGUCCCAAAGUAAAUGUGUAGGGGGGUCUAUCGGGAAUCUAACAUAUAGUCCCAAAGUAAACAGACAAGGGGGAGCUACCGGAAUCCCACAUCCGUAGUCCCAAUGUAAAUACACAGCAGCAGCAAGAAGAUAUACAGAAAUGGCAAAUUUUCAUAUUAAGGCAAUAAGUGAUUCUAGCCUAGCAUGCUGCACAGAAUUCAAGUAAGGCAGGUUGAAUCAAAUAAAGCAAUUAAGUCACUUAGACAUGCUUUCCUAACCUAACAAUAGGCUUAAUAGUGCAAGUAAUAGAAACAGGAUAGGAAACAUGCUAGUAUUUACUUAAAGAAAAUCGGAUUUCCAACAAUUAGCACAAGUACGCACUCGUCGCCUCACGUACAAGGCAUUUCAAUUACCAAACAUACCAAUCCUAAGGGGAAGGUCCCCCCCCCCCCACAAGGUUAGACAAGCCACUUACCUCGAACCAGCUCAAAGUCAACCCGAAACCACUCUCUUGCCACGAGUACUCGACUCCAAAUGACCCAAAUCUAUUCAAUUCAAUCGCAUAACGUAAAUAACACUUCAAGCAACUGAUUCUACAAUUAAAUUCUAAGCUAAAACGUAAAAUUAUGUAAAAUGACCAAAAUGCCCCUCGGCCCACGUCUCGGAAUUGGGUAAAAUUUAUAGUUUCAGAAUCCUCACACUCUUACGAGUUUAAAAAUUGUCCAAAUCCGAUUUCAAAUCCCCAAUCAAAACACAAUUCUUUGCCUAAGAACUUUUCCCCAAAUUUUCAUACAAAUUUCAAAAUUAAAGGAUGAAUUCAUGUUUAAAAUAAUGGGUUACAAGCAAAAAUGAGUUAAGAAUCGUUACUCAAUCGAUAUCUUUGAAAAUACCUCAAAAUCUCGCUCAAAUCCGAGCUCCCAAGCUUAAGUUUUGAUAAAAAUGGAUAAAGCCCUCGAUUUUGAAAUCUUAUAUCUGCCCAGAAAAUUCCUUCUUCGCGAACGCGGUCAAAGCCUCGCGUUCACGAAGCAUAAAAUAACUUUGACCAUUUUUCCUUCUUCGCGAACGCGUCUCUCACUCCGCGAACGCGAUGCCUUGCACAGACGAACCUUCGCGAACGUGAUGCACAAAACUCCACUGGGCCAUUUCCUCUUCUGUGAACGCGAAGCCCAAUCACGAACACAUAACACAACCAUCCAGCCUAUUCGCGAAUGCGGAGGCCCUCUCGCGAACGUUAAGGCCAAACUUUUCCCCCAGUCCCAUCUCCUCUUCGCGAACGCGAGAACCCACUCACAAACGUGAUGAAGGAAACCAGAACUGAUUGCUACAACAUUUUUUGCAAUUUCCUAAGUUCCAAAAAUGAUUCGUUGAGCAUCCGAAACACACUCGAGGCCCCCGGGACCUCAACCAAACCUGCCAACCAAUCCUAAAAUAUCAUUCAAACUUGUUCCAACCUUUGGAACGCUCAAAACAACAUCAAAAUGCCUAUUUUUCAUCGGAUUUAAGCUUAAAAUUCCAAAAACUCUAAAAACACACUUUCGAUCAAAAAGUCUACCAAACCUCGUCCGAAUAACCUGAAAUUUUGCAAACACAUCCCAAAUGAUAUGACAGAACUACUGCAACUCUUGGAAUUCCAUUCCGACCCUCGGAUCAAAAUCUCCCUAUCGAACCGGAACUUCAAAAAUUCAACUUCUGGCAUUUCAAGCCUAAAUUAGCUACAGACCUCCAAAACACACUCCGAACACGCUCCUAACCCUGAAAUCACCCAACGGAGCUAACAGAACCAUCGGAUUUCCAUUCCGAGUCCGUAUUCACACAGUUCCGACUACGGUCAACUAUCCAGCACUUAAGCUCUCAUUUAGGGACUAAGUGUCCCAAAACUCUCCGAAACUCAAAAUCGACCAUCACGGCAAAUCAAAAUAGCAGAAAUAAACUUGGGAAAAGCAGUUAAUAGGGGAUCAGGGCGUUAAUUCUUAAGACGACCGGCCAGGUUGUCACAAAUCCGGGUAAGGAAUUCUGUUAACCCGGGAGAAGGUGUUAGGCAUUCCCGAAUUCCGUGGUUUUAUUACGGUCGCUCAACUAUUGUUAUUGGCCUAAUUAUCUGAGUAAUUACAUAUUUUAUACCUAUUGUGUAUUUUUAAACUUUGACCGCUUUUAAUUAUUUAUGAAAGUAUUCUGGAACAAGUUACGAUUGUCGUACACUUGUUGGUUUGGUACACAUUGUGAAUCGUGUCACGGGAACCGUAUCCAUGAUCUACAACAUAUUUAAUUUAUUAACAUUAUUAGAAGUUAUGGCUGUGUCACAUGAAAUAUGCACCCGGAUUUGGAAAUUACGUAUCAUAACCAUGUCGCAAAAACCGUACUCAUAGUCACGAUAAUUCAUUAUUACUAAUCGCGCCUAAAGCAAGCUACGAUAUUCACAAGUUACUUUCCUAAACUACUUUAAGAUUAGGGUGAGGCUACGAAUUAAGAAUAUAAAAUAUAGAAAAAUGGGUCAACUUAACAGAACACCAAAUCCAUAAGAUUUAAUUGAAAAACAAUCGGCCCCAAAUUCCAUUCACAUCUUCAUUUUUGUAAAUUGUUCAAAUCUGAUCCCCACAUCAUUAGUGAACAGUGUUAAACUGGCUACUUUACAAUCGGACCUAAUAUUGAAAGGAUAUUCUUUUAACGUCAGCUCAAACUCCUUCUCACAACAAAGCAAGCUAAAGGAAAUAAGUCCCAAGUUUCCAAAGGGGAUCACAAACAUAGAACAGAAGCAACAAUAGUUUAAGAGCACUGAAACGAUCACUAAACCAAACAAAACUUCAAUUAUUCAUAAUACCUAAUCAUUCACAAUAAUUAUUCACAUGAAAAAUACCUAACUUCAAUUAUUCACAUAAUACCUAACUUCAAUUAUUCACAUCAAAACACCUAAUCAUUCAUAAUAAAUAAACAGUACCAACUCAAAUCAUGAAAAAUUAUAUAACACAUGAAGCAUUCAUAACACCUAAUCACGUAGAAUAAACAAACAACUCAAUAAUCAAUCCCAAGAAUCAACAAGCAUAUAACGUCAAUGAAAUAAGGAAGCAAUGUCGAGAAAUGGACCUUUCAAUAGCUAAAUAUUCUUCAACUCAACAAGAACAGAUAUCUGCUGGACUUUUACGUGAAGUAACCACAACCGAAAAUGACACCUAGAACUUCGACGGAGCUUUGAACCUCGACUAAAACUCUUGUAUUUUCGGUCGUGUUUGGAGAGCUUUUGGAGGUUGUUUGGCUGUAUUUUAGAACUGUUUUGUUGUGGCUUCAGGUGGUGUUUUUGUGGAGUUGAGACGGCGAUGGAGGUGAAGGAGGAAGUCUGGUUCGUGGUUGUUCCAGCGAGCUGAGUCGAGGAUGAUGAAGAAGAAAGUCGUUGCUGCCGAUUUUCAGAAAUGGAGUCUCAUUUUUAUUGUGUGUGUUGUGUAUGUGUUAGUUGUUGUUCGUUUUCUGGCGAGAUCGAAGGUUGAAAAAGAAUGACGUAGGGGGGGUGGUCUCUUGGGUUCCGCGGCUGCUUCAAGACUAAGGUUCUAGGUCUGUUCAUUUUUUUUUGAAAGAGAAGAUGAAACUUCUCUUCCGAUGGAAACGGCUGGCCUUUCUGUUUUCGCCCUUUUUUUAGGUUGUCCCUAGAGUUAAGUCAAGGUGUUAGUCUUUUUUUAGGUUAUUUUUCAUUGGUACUCCCUCCGUUUUAUAAUAAAUGAGGUACUUUCCUUUUUAGUCUGUUCCAAAACAAAUGAUGCAUUUCUAAAUUUGGAAAUAAUUCAACUUUAAACUCUUUCAUUUUACCAUUUACCCUUAAUGAAAAACUUUUAUAGUCACAUAAAUGUCAUGGCCCCAUAAACCUUUUACACCUUAAGCUUUUAAGACCACAAGUUUCAAAAGCCUUCUUAUUUUUUCUUAAACUCCGUACCGAGUCAAACUACCUCAUAUAAUAUGAAACAGAGGGAGUAUAUAAGAGAGGAAAGGGUAAAUGGGCUUGGACUUAGGAAAUUGGGUUGGACCAUGUCUUUUGGGUUUGAAUUUAGGCUAAGGAGACCAAAUAAUAUAAUGUAUCUAUAAAGUGUAAAAAUCAACCUUAAUUAAAAUAAACUAAUAUAAAACUAAAUACUAAAAGUGAAACUAAUUUUUGUAUUUUCAAAUGUUAUAAUAAAGUAAAAAAUAGGAAGAAUAGGCUACAGCCAAGGUAAAAUUAAAGUACUAUAAAUUUAAAUAUACUAAUUGACUUUAAACUAAAGAUGAAAAAUAUUUUUUGUAAUUUUUAUUUUUUAAUGAUAAAAUAAAGUAAAAGAGUCAAGACUAUUUAAAAUAACGAUAUUAAACCUAAACUUAACAUUUAAACGCUAAAAAUAUAUAAAAUCUCGGGGAGGGUUAAAAAUUACAUGUUUACACUUUCCUAAUAGCUUGAUCUCCAUCGCACGACUCCAUGUGGAAUAGUUUUCUGAACCAGUCAAUUAAAUUGAGAUGAUUGGAGGUGUCCGAUGACUGAAGAAACAAUGGUUGAGAUCAGCUUUCGCCGCCAUUGAGAUUGCUGUGAAUUUAAAUAGGACAACGAUUUCAACUCGCAAUCACGUUUUUACUGCUAUGAUAUCAUGAUGAAACUUGAAUGAAUCAAUAAUGGAGACCCUAAUCUGAUAAUGCCAUAACUGAACUUGAGAGAGAAGAGAAGAAGUAGAGUAUUGUAUUGAGAGAAAAAAUGAAAAUGUGUACUGUUACAUGGAGCUAACAAUACAUAUAUAGAAAGCUCACUUCCACUAACCACCUAACUAACAUUCCACGUGUUCACAUAUUUACUACUAACUAACUGAAAUAAUAAGCUCCUACUAUUGCAUACUAAUGCUUCGUGUAAUUCUCAUUUUAUCACAUCUCCUCGUAAGCUCGUCUAUUAAGCAUACUAGUUCAACAAGUUUGAGAUUUCACCUGAGAUCAGUCCCAUAUAGGAUCACAUAUUUGCUUGUUUGUUAAUUUAAAUUCACACAUAUUUGGACCCCAUGCGUUACAAAUUAUUAGGAUUAUAA